RNAcentral lists this long non-coding RNA (15419 nucleotides) under Populus trichocarpa (black cottonwood). RNAcentral's name for it is "long non-coding RNA (PTRI_LNC002277)". The record is from RNAcentral. Lineage: Eukaryota; Viridiplantae; Streptophyta; Magnoliopsida; Malpighiales; Salicaceae.
GACUUUCCUGUGCCUAUGUGCUAUACGGUUAUUUUUUUGUUUGACACUUGAUUGCUGGAAUUUUAUCAUUCAAUAGCUGACCUUUUUCUAUGUUUUUUCUUUGUGGAAAACAAGAAUCCAACUUUGUGCUCUUGACUGUUUCAUUUUUGAAGAUAAAUGUUUAUUGCCUGGUGGGGUAUAGCAUGUAAUUGUAAUUGGAGGAAAAUCUCAUGAACUAGCCAAUCCAAUUACUAAUAGUCAUCUUCUUAAAUCUUUUUUUAUUGAAAAUCGGUUCAUUCUUAACAGCCGAAAAAAAAAGAUACUGGAGUCUGUUCUUCCAACCGAAUCGAGUGAUUCUAUUGGUAUACGAUGAUCUGGUUGCUGAUAAACAGGAUUGACUUGGAGCUCUGGCUCUCAAUUUGAUUUUUUGAAACCCGUUCUUUAGGUCCCUUUCACCUUGUUUUUAAUGGUUGAUGUGUUUAUGUUGUCAGUUAAAGCUAUUGAUUUCGGCAUCAACCUUGUAAUGAUCUUGACCAUCCUCGUAUGUGUGCUAUAAAACCGGUGUCUUGGGAUAGCUAGUUGUGUUCUAAUCACGUUGAAUUUCGAUUAGAGUGAAAGAAUGGAAUUUACAGAAUGGUGGGUAUAUGCUUUUUGGUUUUGUGAGUGAUGUGAGGCAGCUCAAGUCAAAUAUUGAUGAAGUAGAUAGACUGCAGUCCCGAUUUCACCUCUCUAUUCCGAUUACAAAUGGGUUCCGUGCAAUUCAUGAGCCAUUUUAUUGUCAUUGUUUGUGACAGAAGACAUAUUUCAACUUGUUAACGUGUUACAAAAUGUGUGUUGCCUUUAUCCAGAGGAGUGGGCGUGGUAGUAGCUGGUAAAUUAGGAUUAUACUCUUUGUCUACAACUUAGCUAUGGGGACCACAAAGAUCUACAUAGUGUAAGUUCUCCCCCUUCCUUGUUGUGCAUUAGCUACUACGAGUUUGGAUGUUAAGUUUUCCAUUUUUUCCAGGUUUUACUCCUUACAUGGACAUGUAGAGAUUAUGGCACGAGAAAUCCAGCGAGGAGCUAAUACAGUUCAGGGUGUUGAAGCAACACUUUGGCAGGUAAAUUCUGUAGUAUAUGAGGAUCAGUUAAUGCUAGAAGGGAAUGAAAACUUGUGAACAAGAGGAAGCAGCCUUCAAAUUCUCGUGUGUCUGUGUGUGUGAGUGAACGUGUUGGAGGUUGAAGAUUAGACUCAUAAGAUACUCAACAAAUUUCACUUGGUGGCAUGGAACAGGUACCUGAGACACUUUCCAACUCGAUAUUGAACAAGGUGAAGGCCAAUCCUAAAGCAGAUGAUGUACCAGUUAUUCUGCCAGAACAACUUUUGGAGGCUGAUGGUUUUCUCUUUGGUUUUCCUUCUCGUUUUGGUGUGAUGGCAUCCCAAUUCAAAGCCUUCUUUGAUGCCACCCAUGAGCUAUGGGCAACCCAAGCUCUUGCUGGGAAACCUGCUGGAUUCUUCUGGAGUACUGGUUUCUAUGGUGGAGGCCAGGAACUUGCUGCGUGAGUCAAUUCAUUCUUCAGCCUCUACUCUCGGAACCUUUUUUGUUAUAACUUAAUUUUAGCAUGACUAAGCUUAUAGAAGCUUAGGAUUUUGUGGUAAAUUUUUCCUCACUCAUUGCUGCAGGGUAAGAGGAGCAAAUUAGGAUUUUGUGGAAUAAUUGAUAUCAUAAUUGAAUAUGAGAUGCAAAGUCAAUAAUUGCAAGCUUUAGAUAGGUUAUGUUAAAACAUAGAUAGGAUGCUUUUAAAGAUCCAGGAGGCAAUGGUAAAGUUUAAGGAAAGAUACACAACACUCCUUAAGGCAUUGAAGAAGUUCAGGUUUUAUGUAGAACAUAGAUGGCUAACUUAUAACCAGGCUUGUAGCAAUGAUAGCAAUAGAUACCGAAUCAUUAAAGCAUGCUGAAGUAGUCUAACGCCUUCUGAGAGAUAGUGCAGCAGCUGCAAGUUCAGUUACAGACAGAAAAGGCAACUCUUAUUGAGAAAUGAAUUGGCAUGGAAUAUUUCAUGCUCGCCGCCCUCUGAAAUUUCUUUUAGAAACUAAAAAUGGCAACUUUAAUCUGUGAAAAAACAAUAACCAACCAGAGUCAAAUUCGCUCUUUCAGCUACAAAGAAUAAAAACUCAUUCUUUAUAACCUUUAUUUUUUUUAAUCUUAAUCAAUUUUAACAUGUUCUAAGCUUAUAGAUGCAAUAUCAUUGAAUGCUGAGCAAUUUCAACCCGUUGCCCCGUGUGCUUGUUUUUCCUCAUCCUCUUUGUCAACAUGAGAGGCAUGAGAAGUAAGAAAGACCUUUUUUCUUGUUAUCAAAUCUUGCUGAGAGGUCGGUUUGUCCAUCUCACUCUAGGAGCAGCUUUUCCAUUCAACCAUAAAAAAAGAGGAAAAAGGAUUGUUUCCAUUGAGCUCUGCAGCAAAGAAAUGCUGCCAAAACAGUUGACAAAAUUGCGUGAAUAGAAUGGAGGGAAAGGAAAUUUGGAAGCUCGCUUGUCUUCCUGCUCGUACAAUUUAUCCUGCAAUGCUCCUCCUAUCAUUGUCUUGAUGAAUAAUUAGAUUUAGUAUGAAACUGGCAUGUUUUAGUAAAUGUAUGUUCUUAGUUAUUGUUUUUCAUUUUUUAUUCCAUAUUCAUGCGUGCAUACGAUGUCCUGUGAUCUCCCACUUGCUGUGAAAAGCUGACGGUCACUUGAUUGUUUGUUCACCUCCUGUUUGCAGAUUUACAGCCAUAACGCAGUUAGCACACCAUGGUAUGCUAUUUGUUCCUCUGGGGUACACCUUCGGCAGUGGCAUGUUUGAGAUGGGUGAAGUGAAAGGUGGGUCUUCUUAUGGUGCUGGAACUUUUGCAGCAGAUGGGAGCCGUCAACCCUCUGAAUUAGAACUCCAACAGGCCUUUUACCAAGGGAAGUAUGUUUCUGAAAUAACGAAGAAGCUCAAAGGUUAGCUUCCCUGAGCAAACUAAAACAUCUUCAAAAUGUUGUAAAAACUGAUCAUGAUCUAAAUGAUCAUUUCACUGAAGUUUAAUGAAAGAAGACGCUUGAUGCAAGAGAGAAGUAUGUGUUACUUGUUCCAUCAACGAUCUUUUCUUGAAUAUCUUUCUGGGAAUUAAACUUUGAUCUGUGAAUUCAUCUCACCAAGAAAAUGGAUAUCAGGAACUGGAAGCAAAAUGAUAUCUUGCUCCAUGGUAAACGCUGCAAGUCGUAAUCCGUUUGUGAUAUCGCCGAUGGUUUUAACCCCUCAUAUUAUUGUUGAUCCUCACAACUCUAUUUCAUACGUUUAAUGUUAUAAAAUUGGUUUAAAAACAUGAUUAAUGAUCACAUGUGAGGCCAGUUCAAUUAUGGGAUCCAUUCAAAUUUCGAGUUAAGAAUUUUCUUUUAAUAUAAAUAUUUAACAUGAGAAAUUCAUCUUAGUUCUCAACAAUUUCUUUUGUUUAGUAACUAGACUGUUUAAAGUCAUAAACAUAUAUGUUCAAGUUUUAAACAUUUUUAAAAAAAUAUGUUUUAAAUUAAUUAAAAAAUGUUAGAAUUAAUUCUGUCUAGGGGACGGGGCUAUCUAGAACAAGUUUUUUUUUUUUUUCCUAGUCUUUGCAUCAUGGUUUUAAAACUCGAUUUGACCUGAUAAGUGAACCUGAAAGCUGUAAGACUCAGUAAACCCAGAUGAGACCCGACUGAUUUAUAUAUAUAUACAAAACGUAACCGUUUUAACUUUUUAUUGUCAAACAUCUAUAACAUGAAAACAAAAAACCUACACUCUUUAAUCUGCAGAGCCAUAUUAUGAUGAAAACGACAUCGUGGGUUGGUGGAUGAAUGUGUUAUGAUGAAAACGACAUCGUGGGUUGGUGGAUGGAUGUGUUGGCAGUGCAGGGAGAGUUUGUUGAGCGGUUGUUUGGAGGGGGGGUCAGAUCUUGUGGUGAUGAUGGCGAUCCAGUUUUAAUUGGUGCGGAUAUGAAUGCGGGUGUGGAUUAAGAGCUUUUGUGGUGAAAAUCAGCGCACAUUUGCAAAGGAAGGAUUUUAAGGGCAAAGAAUGGAAAAAGAUUAGAGAGAAAAUGAAAUGGUGGGUUUGUUAUGUUUGUCGUGGAGGUGGCAGAUUAGAGAGAAAAUGAAAUGGUGGGUUUGUUAUGUUUGUCGUGGAGGUGGCAGAUUAGAGAGAUUAAGGAAGUGGUGCACGUUAGUCAAGCAGGGAUCUUAGGGAAGAAGGAUAAGAGAGAAAGAAAACACAAUGGUUUUUCAUUUAUUUUUAUGCCAAUAUUCAUUUCACAAUGAUUUUAAUUAAAUAUAUAUUAUUUAAAAUUAUUUUAAAAAAACCACAACUAAUUUUUUAAAAAAAAACUUAAUUUUUUAAAACUACAAUUGCAAAAACUACAGUUAGAUACCACAAACACAAUUUUUCAGUCCCAAUAUAUAUAUAUAUAAAAGGAACAAGAUAUUACAAAUCUAAUUUAUGUAUUUAGAAUGAGGUAACAUUUUGAAACCCGUAACAUUUUGAAACCCCGAACUCCUUUUCAGACAUGCUUAGAUCCUAGGCGCCUUAUAAUAUAAUUCUGCGUGUAAAAAAGAGAGGCAGGCUUUUGAGACGAUGCUAGAAAGUGUUAAUCCUAAGAUUUUUACAGGUGUACUAUUUUUAUUUUAUUUUUACUUUUUACAACUCCAGGGAUCAAUUUUUAACUCUUAUUAACUGUGAAUUAAUUGCUCCCAUCUAAUAAAACUAAAUUUGAAAAAAAAAUCACAUUGGAGAAAAUAGCAUUGGAAUAGUAAUCUCAUCAAUCAGCAACACUCCACCGAUUUAAAAUAAUUAAAAACGACCUUUUUAUCUCCUUGGCGUGGAUGCGAUUCAAAUAAAAUAAAAUAAAAUAUCUCCUAAAAAAAGAUAAAGAUUAGAAAAUAAAAUAAAAACGACCUCGUUUUAUCUCAGCCACCUGACAAAAUAAACAACAAUAAUACGAGGACAAACAGUCAAACAGAAUCACAUCUCCAUCUCCUCCAAUUCCAAAAGAAAAUGGAGUCCAUCUUGCGAUCCUUAACGGGUCAAGACCCGAACCCGGAUGAUUACAGAAACAUCGAGUUCUGGUCAGACCCGGAACGGUCCGGUUGGCUAACAAAGCAAGGAGACUACAUAAAAACCUGGCGACGUCGCUGGUUCGUUCUCAAACAAGGGAAACUUCUCUGGUUCAAGGAGAGAAGCGUGACGCGAGGGUCAAUUCCACGCGGGGUGAUCCCAGUGGGCAAGUGCUUGACCGUGAAAGGUGCAGAAGAUGUGCUUAACAAACCUUAUGCUUUUGAGCUUUCGACGAGCCAAGAAACAAUGUAUUUUAUAGCAGAUUCGGAGAAAGAGAAAGAGGAGUGGAUCAAUUCGAUUGGGAGGUCAAUUGUUCAACACUCACGGUCUGUUACUGAUUCUGAGAUUGUUGAUUAUGACAGCACUCGUUGAUUAAUCUGUUCUUCUUGUAUCAAUUUUUAAAAGAAAAGGUAACUAAAUAUUAUGUUUGUUUUUGUUGCUCCUGCUGUUGUGUAUGUAAUGAAGAAUCUUGUGUUUUUCUUAUGGUUUAAUCUGAGUGUUUGUUCGGUUGAUUUUUGGAGAUUUUGAUGUUUUGUAAUUGAAUCUGCUUACUUAUUUUGUGAUUUAACUUUGUUGCUUGAUUGCAAUUAUCAGGUGGAUAGUUGGCUGUUAGAAAACUCAGUUAAAAGGAAUUUACAUUUGGGGUUUUGAUAAAUGUUUUAUUCUUCUUGAUUUUUUAAUAUUCGUGCUUGAUUGAGAAUGAAGGGUUGUGGAAUCUGUUCAUUCAUUGAAAAUAGCCUGCAUUUCCAGUUACUUUACGGGAAAGCAAUAGAUUUUUCUUUUUGUGUUGGGGAUUUUGUGAAGGGAUUUGUUUAGAAUUCAUGGUAUAUUGUUAUUAUACACAUUAAGGCUGUAGGGCUUUAGUGAGAUUUCGGUUUAAAAUCAGAAGAAAUGAAACAGAUUACAAGAGAUUGGAGUUUGGUUCCUGUCAAUUUAUAUGUUUUGGCCAAGUAGGUCAGAUUAUGCAGAUUGAUGAUGAACUUCUUAGUUCUUCAAAACACAGUUGGAUACUUCAGUACAUUAAUAUUACUGGUUCAGUUAGAUCCUUGAAAUUCUUUGUGUAGUUGUCAUGGGGAUCAGGUGGGAGUUCGGCUUCUUGGAAAGGGUUUAGGAAACUGUGUUAGUUCGAAAUACUAAGCUUUAGGUGAACAAAUCUGAUAUUUAAAACAUAUGCUUUAGCUCUGGUAUGUUUUACAUCUAAACUCAUCCGCCGGCAAACUCUGAUGUGUUCUUCUUGCCUUAGCUCAGACCUUAGCAGCAAGAACAACCCCAACUCUCAAGCACGACAGUUUUGUUUUGUUUCUAGAAUUCAGUUUCAGUCCCCCUAAGCUUGUUACCCGAUUGACUGGAUCCACUUUGUUGAAUCAUUUGUCCUGUUGGCUUUGUGUGAUUCAACAUUGGACAUGAUAGUUCUUAAGAUUAUAUGCUUUUGACUUUGUUUUCUGAGUUGCAAUGCAAGCAGAGUGGUCAUUGCUGUGAUGAGAGAAGUUUUGUGCUCACUGUCACAGGACUUAGUUUUGAAUCAUGAGAUAUCCAUUUCAUGCGGGUAUGAAUUGAUAAAAGUGCAAAAUUUCUGUUGUAGAAUUUUGUUUGGGUUACUUCUUGAUCAGGCACUGGCACAUGAGAAUCAUAACAAAGAUGGCAGGAAAAAUAUGGACUGAUCUAGGCUUUGGUUCGGUUAAGUCCCAAUUUUACUUGCUGGGUUAGUCUGAGUUUUAAAAAUAUGGAUAGAGGAUCUUGGGUUUCAUAAAAAACAUACAUGUUAAUGCUUCUUUAAAAUCAAUUUAUCAUUCAUUCAUAAUUUAUUUUAAUUUUAUUAAUGAAUUUUUAUUAAAGAAUAUUUUUCAACAAAAUGACCAAAUCCAUUAACAAAACGAAAGGAUAUCAGUAUUUCUUUGUUGAGGUCUCACAUGUUAAUGUAGAUUCGCACAUGGAAAGACUAUUUUACCCUUCAUAUUGAAACCCAUGUAACUUACUUUUAAGGGGCAAAAACAUCUUUUCAACAAGAUCAAUUUUUCAUUGCAAGCUUGGAAGGGGCUAGAAUAGUACUUUUACUUUUAAUUACUUUUAAAGAUUAAAUUUUUUUAACUUUUGAUCGGGGAUUUUUUUGUUUUUUUCUUUUCAAAGCACAAUGCAAUUACUAAAAUGCCCUUACAAACAAAAAAUAUAUAACUUGUAUUAAAAGGCUUUUUGAUUUUUUCAUGUUGGUUUUGUCGUUGAUAUUAUGUUGGGUUAGGGGCAAUAUGGUAUUUUAAGAAAUUAAAAUAAAAAUAAAAAUAUAAAAGUUGUUAGCACGUGCAACACACAUGUCAGUGAGUAGAAAAAACUUGGGCCCUUUGAGUGGCAUAUGCAAGCUUCUCUGACGAACAAACACCUUCAUUUGUCGUGGUGUUGGGAGCGGCUCAUCGAGAUCUUUAUGGUGGAUGGGCGUGUGUCGGCGAAGGAUAUACGAUGUGGCUUUAGUGAAUUUUUUUCUUCCCCUCUCCCCCUUUUCUCUCUUCUCCUUAUUUGUUUUUCUUGUCCAAUUUAGUCCUUAUUCAUUUGAUUUCAUGUUUGAUUUCUUAUUUAUCUUUUUUUUAAUAUUUUUUUUCUUCAAUUUAGUUCCUCAUCAAUUUGUUUUAUUUGAUUUUUGUAUCAAUUUAGUCCUUGUUAUUUUAAUUAUUACUUAUGUGCUUUUUAAAUUUUUUUACAUUAGAUUGUUUGAUAAUUGAGUCUCAUUGUUUUAUUCAACUUGCUUUUGACAAAGUUGCCUUGAUAUCACAAUCGGAUUAUAGAUUUAGCAUGUUAACUCAGUUAAUCUCUUAUAAUUUUUUUUAAUCUUUUUUGGGUGUCAAUUGUUUUUUGUCGGCUCAUUUUAUUGUCGUUGUGUUUUUUAUUUCAUGUUAUAAAGAUCAUACAAUUUUAUUAAACUCAAUCAAGUUAAUUACCCGAAUUAUUUUUUUUAUAGAAACAUUUUUGUUGUUUUGACUUCUUUUUAUGAUAUAAAAAAAAAUAAGCUAACUUAUAUCGUAUCACACGAACCAUCUAAUUUUAAUUAAAAUAUAUUUAUUGACCAUGUUUUUACUAAAACAAAUUUCAACAGUAAGCAAUUUUACCAAAUCACUAAUAAUCAAAAUUGAGAAACCUCGAUUCCACAUGUGGGACAACCGACCUCUGCAUUAUGGCAGAUAAAAAGUGUGUUUUGUAUUGCAGUAGCUGUUGUGGUUGUUGUUUGAAAAAGGUUGUUUUAUAAAAAGUACUUUUAGUUGAGGUUGGUUUAAAAAAAUAGGUGUUUGGUUAAAACUGUGGUUGAAAUUGAGGUUGAAGAAAAAAUAGUUUAAUGUGUUUGGUUAAGAAUGCUUUUGAAAUUGAGGUUAUAAAAUAAUUUUAAAAAAAUAUAUUAAUAUUGAUGGUUUUAAAUUUAAAUAUUACGGAUUUAACUAUUGCUAUUAUAUCAUGAAAUAAAUCAUACUUUAUAUAAAAUAUUUUUUAUUAUUCCAUGAAACCAUUUAUAAUUCCAUUACAUAUACAUCCGACAAAAAUUACAGUUUUCAUAAUAUUUUUAGCAUGUAAUAAAAUUAGAUAAAAUAUUAUCAGGUAUAAAAUUCACUAUAAACUAGUUUUUUUAAAAAAAUAUUAAAAAAAUAACACACUAAAAUAAUAAAAAAGUUCACGCAAGCAAGUAAACAGUACAAGACAAUUGCACUGUUCACUAUUUUUAAGUGAACACUGCAAUUGUUUUGCACUGUUCAUGUUAAUUGCACUGUUCAAUGAAUAAACAGUACAAUUAACAUGAAUAAAAAAAGAGCCUAAUGAAUAGUCAAUUAAUUUUUUUCUUAAUCAAACAGCUGCAAACUUUGUUUUCAAUAAAAUACAGCCGCAGCCGAGAAAAAAUAUCUUACAAAUGAGGCGGCCCAAAACUAGAGAAAAUACCUUGCGAGCUGGCAAACAAUUAGUGGGUGUUGCGUCGUCUUCGAUAGGGAAAUUUGGAUAGCAUUUCAGCAUCUGGAUGGCUACUUUUUGAAAAAAAAACACAUUCAUUUUCGGGUCAGAUGAUAUUAUACGUUGUUCCUUUAUGACUUUUGGAGGAGGCUACGAGUAAGUAGAUAAACGAAAAGGAGAAAUAGGUGGCAAGGAAUAUCAGACAAGAAGCAAUGAAGCAAGAAGAGCUGAUUUUUGUUCCAGGCCCCGGUAUCGGUCACUUAGCAUCAGGCCUUGAAUUAGCAAAGCGCCUGCUCGACCAUGAUGAUCGAUUAUCAAUCACAAUACUUGUUAUGAACAUGCCCUUUACUCCAUCUAUUAAUUCAUACACCAGAUCACUCACUGCAUCACAACCCCGCAUCAAACUCGUUGAUCUUCCCGAAGUGGAUCCUCCCCCAUCAGAGCUUUUAACGAAAUCCCCAGAAGCUUAUAUCUGUGAUUUCAUUGAAAGUUACAUACCCCAUGUCAAAACUACUGUCACAGAUAUUAUAUCAUCCCUGUCUAACUCGGAUGUCCGAGUUGCCGGGUUUAUUCUUGAUUUCUUUUGCGUGUCCAUGAUUGACAUUGCAAAUGAAUUCAGUCUCCCUCCUUAUAUCUUCAUAACCUCCAACGCAGGAUUCUUGGGUCUUAUGCUAAACCUACCCAAACGCCAUGAUGAAAUCAGCGAGGUGAUGCAAAUGUCUGAUCCUGAUUCGUUAAUACCAGGUUUUUUCAAUCCUGUUCCAGCACGAGUCUUGCCUGAUGCUGUAUUUAAUAAACAUGGUGGUUAUGCUGCUUAUGUUAAGGUUGCUCAAAGGUUCAAGGAUGGAAAAGGUAUAAUCGUGAACACAUUUGCUGAGCUGGAGCCUUUUGUGCUCAGGUCCUUCUCUGAUGAUCACCGAAUCCCUCCAGUUUACCCUGUUGGGCCAGUGCUACACCUAAAGGGUCAGCCUCACCCUGAAAUAAACCAGGAUCAGUUGGACAAAAUCAUGAAAUGGCUUGAUGAACAGCCUCAAUCAUCUGUGGUGUUUCUAUGCUUCGGAAACUUUGGGAGCUUUAGCCCCCUACAAGUGAAAGAAAUAGCACUUGGCAUCGAGCAAAGUGGGUUCAAAUUCCUGUGGUCCAUGCGUUUUCCACGCUCUCCGUCUAAUCAGUUCAUGAAUCCUGAAGAUGUGUUACCAGAAGGAUUCUUGGAACGCAUAGAAGGACGAGGAAUUAUGUGUGGAUGGGCACCGCAGGUUGAAGUCCUAGCUCACAAGGCAAUAGGAGGGUUCGUGUCUCAUUGUGGGUGGAACUCCAUCUUGGAGAGCUUGUGGUACGGUGUUCCUAUCGUUACAUUGCCUAUAUAUGCUGAACAGCAGCUUAAUGCAUUUAGGAUGGUGAAGGAAUUGGGACUGUCAGUGGAGCUGAAACUGGAUUACAGGGUAGGUGGUGAUCUUGUGACUGCAGAUGAGAUAGCAAAAUCUGUAAUAUGUGUUAUGCAAAGUGAUAGUGAGGUGAGGAAGAAGGUGAAAGAAAUGAGCGAGAAAGGCAGGAAGGCUGUGAUGGAUGGUGGAUCUUCUUUCACUUCUAUCACACAACUCAUCCAGGAUAUAACAGGAAACAACUGAUAUGAAUACCGCCUGCUAGUAAGGGUUGAUUUCCAUUGUAGUUGAAGAAAUUGUGUGUGAAAAAUAAGGUCUUCCUGGAUGUAUAACGUUAACAAUGUUUUCCAUAUUUAAACCUUUCAUUUUGCUGUCUCAUGAAUCUCUCUAGUUGUUCUUCUAGUUUCCAAGGUGUGUGAUGUUUUCUCAACUUGAUCUUCUAUAUUGUUAGAGUCCUGUUAUAGCUCCUUCUGCAGAAACAAAUAUAUCAGAUUUGAAGUCUUCAAAUUUCAUCAUGCAGUCUUUACAAGGAUAGGAUUGCAGAGUUGCUGUCUUAUAUAUUUCUGUCAUAUGGACCUCCAAAUCAUUAUUGCAAGUCUUUUUUUUCCCAUUAAUCUUUGAUUCUGCAAGACUAGCAAGCUCUCUGUGUUUGUUGUUUGGCAUUCGGGGAGUGAGCUCUAGAAUUUUUGUUCAGAAGGAAAAAAAACAAAAAAAGCUCUAGGAUUCUCUGUUUACUGCUCGCCCCAACUUGACAAUGUACCUGGUCAUGUUUGCCGAGCUGUUUAGAUAAUUACGGGUCCAUUGGCCAAUUAGAAAGGUGAGCCAGUCCAAAGACUUUAGUGAAGCCGUCUUUUAAAUUUUAAGUUUAUGUUGACGUUCGUCGAAUUUCAUCUUAUAAUUGUUCUUCAAAUCUUUUGUAGAUAUGCCAUUAGUGAAAACUAUCAAAGAUUUUUUUUAAUUUUUUUUUAAAAAAUUAUUUUUUAUAUUAUAUUAACACAUUAAAACAAUCCAAAAACACCUAAAAAUAUAUAAUUAUAGUAAAGUAUAACUUAUUCCUUAUACUCUAUCAAGUAUUCCCUAUAUAUUAAAAAUUAUUAAAUAAGUUUUUAAUCUAAGUUAAUCAUCCAUAGUUAUACUCUCUUCGCCCAUUAUUAUUGAUCCUUUUUGGCUUUUCAAAGUAAAUAUAACAUGAUUUUGAUACUCUCUUUUUUCUUAUAUUGAUUAAAAAUUUAACAAAAAAAAUGUUAUGAAAAAUAUAAUAAACUUUAACUAAUACUUAAUUUUUCAAAUUUUAGAUCAAUAAAAUAAAUUAAAAAUAUUAGAUCAUUGCUAAAAUCCAUUGACGUCUUCAAAUUAACGAGGGAUUAUUGUAAUGGAUUAAUCAGUAAUUUUAUAUUCUAAAAAUAUUUUAUUUUCAAAUUAAAAUUUUCUCAACUUACUUACAUCAUCAAAAGAUUUUAUAAUAUUCAAGUUAUAACUAAUCAUAUUAGUUAGCUAAUGGAAUACGCUUCAAGGAAGAAGACAAAAUACAAGUGAAAGAAAUAUUAAAAUAUAUAACCCAUAAAAAUAAUUAAAAUAUCCACACCUACUCUUAUUUAUUUAUUUUUAUAAAGUGAAUCUUAUUAAAUAAAUAAUAGAAUAUCACUAAUUACAUUUUAUUAUUCACCUUUUUUUUAUUCUAUUCCACACAAAAAAAUAGAAAAGCACAAGAUUUUAAUAGAAGGAUUAUGUUAUAAAUGUAAUUAAAAAGAAAUAAGGAUUGAUAAUAAGUUUUAAAAUUACAAGGACUAAUUAAUUAGUUUUGUUAACUACAGAGGCUAAGGUAUAAUUCAUCCAGUGCUGACUGUUUCUGCUGCAGCCUGUACUUUGCCAGCUUCAAGUCAAAAUGAUCAAAUGUCGGCAGUGAGAUACGUCUGCAAAAGAAGAUGAUUGCAGGUACCUGGAUGCUGUCUUCAAAUCUCUAAAUUGGAAAAAUAAUCUCAACAUCCAUGGCAACCCUAGGGAACCCUCUUGCCUCUGUCCCAAUUAGCUCAAACCCCACCAUCUUAACUGCCAAUAACGAACAGAAAAGCAAUCCCUCCACAGUCCCAAUACUCAUUGACAAAUGUGCCAACAAAAAACACCUGAAACAACUCCAUGCUCAUAUGCUACGCACUGGUCUCUUCUUCGACCCUCCAUCGGCUACCAAGCUCUUCACUGCAUGUGCUUUGUCCUCUCCCUCGAGCCUCGAUUAUGCUUGCAAGGUGUUCGACCAAAUUCCCCGACCAAAUCUCUACACUUGGAACACCCUCAUUCGUGCUUUUGCUUCAAGCCCCAAACCCAUCCAAGGCCUCUUGGUAUUUAUCCAGAUGCUUCAUGAGAGCCAACGUUUUCCUAACAGUUACACUUUCCCUUUUGUUAUUAAGGCUGCCACGGAGGUUUCUAGUUUACUUGCUGGACAAGCUAUUCAUGGAAUGGUUAUGAAGGCAUCGUUUGGUUCGGAUUUGUUUAUUUCGAACUCACUUAUUCAUUUCUAUUCCUCAUUGGGGGAUUUGGAUUCGGCUUAUUUAGUUUUUUCGAAGAUUGUUGAGAAAGAUAUUGUAUCAUGGAAUUCAAUGAUAUCGGGGUUUGUGCAAGGGGGUAGCCCUGAGGAGGCAUUGCAGUUGUUUAAAAGAAUGAAGAUGGAGAAUGCGAGGCCCAAUCGUGUGACAAUGGUGGGAGUUUUAUCAGCUUGUGCAAAGAGGAUAGAUUUGGAAUUUGGUAGAUGGGCUUGCGAUUACAUUGAGAGGAAUGGGAUUGAUAUAAAUUUGAUUUUGAGUAAUGCAAUGCUUGAUAUGUAUGUGAAAUGUGGGAGCCUUGAAGAUGCUAGAAGAUUGUUUGAUAAGAUGGAGGAGAAAGAUAUUGUUUCGUGGACAACUAUGAUUGAUGGGUAUGCAAAAGUGGGUGAUUAUGAUGCGGCUAGGAGGGUUUUUGAUGUCAUGCCCAGGGAAGAUAUUACUGCCUGGAAUGCAUUAAUAUCUUCUUAUCAACAGAAUGGGAAGCCAAAAGAGGCACUAGCCAUUUUCCGUGAAUUACAGCUUAAUAAGAACACAAAACCAAACGAAGUUACACUUGCAAGUACCUUGGCAGCAUGUGCUCAGCUGGGAGCAAUGGAUUUAGGUGGGUGGAUUCAUGUGUACAUAAAGAAGCAAGGCAUUAAGUUAAACUUCCAUAUCACAACCUCGCUUAUUGACAUGUAUUCUAAGUGUGGCCAUCUAGAGAAGGCACUUGAGGUGUUUUAUUCUGUGGAAAGGAGAGAUGUGUUUGUAUGGAGUGCCAUGAUUGCUGGGUUGGCAAUGCAUGGGCAUGGGAGAGCUGCUAUUGAUUUGUUCUCAAAGAUGCAAGAAACUAAGGUAAAGCCCAAUGCUGUGACAUUUACCAAUUUACUGUGCGCUUGUAGUCACUCGGGACUAGUGGAUGAGGGCAGGUUGUUUUUCAAUCAAAUGAGGCCAGUUUAUGGUGUUGUGCCUGGUAGCAAACAUUAUGCUUGUAUGGUUGAUAUUCUUGGUCGUGCAGGCUGCCUUGAAGAAGCUGUUGAAUUAAUAGAAAAAAUGCCAAUAGUCCCAAGUGCUUCUGUGUGGGGUGCUCUACUUGGAGCAUGCAGAAUUUAUGGAAAUGUUGAGCUCGCUGAAAUGGCUUGUAGUCGUUUGCUUGAGACAGACUCCAAUAAUCAUGGAGCUUAUGUGCUCUUAUCCAAUAUAUAUGCCAAAGCAGGCAAAUGGGACUGUGUUUCUAGAUUAAGGCAGCACAUGAAAGUUUCUGGGUUGGAGAAGGAACCAGGUUGUAGCUCGAUUGAGGUUAAUGGCAUCAUUCAUGAGUUUCUCGUUGGAGAUAACUCUCACCCUCUCUCCACGGAAAUCUACUCAAAGUUGGACGAGAUUGUAGCUAGAAUAAAAUCAACUGGUUAUGUGUCUGACGAGUCCCACCUUCUACAAUUUGUUGAAGAAGAAUACAUGAAGGAGCAUGCCCUUAACCUUCACAGUGAAAAAUUGGCAAUUGCCUAUGGGCUUAUUAGGAUGGAACCAUCACAACCCAUUAGGAUUGUGAAAAAUCUUCGUGUUUGUGGGGACUGUCAUUCAGUUGCUAAGAUCAUAUCUAAACUUUAUAAUAGAGAUAUACUAUUGAGAGAUCGGUAUCGGUUCCAUCAUUUCAGUGGAGGGAAUUGCUCGUGUAUGGAUUACUGGUAAAUAAGGGUGGAAUAUGGUUUGAAGAUUUCACCUCAAUUCUCUACAGAAUGACAUAAUUCCUCAUUGUAGUCUGGGGAGGAAGCAAGAGUGAUGGAGUUGUAGGAGAACUGGGAGUUCCAAGCUAAAAAACUUUCAUCAAGUCUCCAGCACUUCUCAUGGUGUUUGCUCAGGGCUUCAAGCUUAAGAAAGAAGCAUCUUACUUGGAUGGUAUUUCUGUUUUUAACUGUGAUGCAAAGCAAAUGUAUGGAAUGUGAAAAUCCAGAUUUUGCUUUUGUUUUCUAGGUAUUUCUUUUCCCCAGCACGUUGUCAGUAUUGAAGUUUAAAACUUGGAAAUUAUAUUCUCGGUGUUAUUUUGUGCACUUUAUGUUCCCUGAAAAUGAUUACACUCACGAACACUGAUGGGCUCUUAGAGGAACUUGUCAACCAUUACAUUUCUGGAAUGCGCCAUGAGGAUUCGAUUUCUUGAGUAAAGCUUAGUUGAUCGCAAUCCAGCUCAGUUAAGAGUAGAUUGUAGGAGGAACUUGCAAAUAUUGUAACCUUGGGAAGUUUGAAACAUAUUUACUGCUGGAGGCUUUCAUUUUGUUUUGUUAAAUGAAGAGUACAAACCUCUAGUUGAUGAUAGCUUGUCUCCUGACUGCAGGGAUGGGUGCUGCAGUAACCAUUGUUACUAUGUAGAACUUGCUAUUUUUACCGUGGAGUUAUAAUUUGACUUACUUUUUUGCUGAUUUCAUAAAGAGUCAGCAAGCUAGCUUGUUGCUAGAAGUUCAAUGAUUAUUUUGGGCUCCAGAUUCUUUGAAGUGAGUUCGAAUAUCUUGACCACAUUUGUCCUUCCAGGUGCAGCCACAUCUUAAACCUCC